CAACUUUCAACAACGGAUCUCUUGGUUCUGGCAUCGAUGAAGAACGCAGCGAAAUGCGAUACGUACUGUGAAUUGCAAAAUUCAGUGAAUCAUCGAAUCUUUGAACGCACAUUGCGCCCUUUGGUAUUCCAAAGGGCAUGCCUGUUCGAGCGUCAUUU
RNAcentral lists this ribosomal RNA (158 nucleotides) under Alternaria sp. RNAcentral's name for it is "5.8S ribosomal RNA". It matches the Rfam family "5.8S ribosomal RNA". Rfam says of the family: 5.8S ribosomal RNA (5.8S rRNA) is a component of the large subunit of the eukaryotic ribosome. It is transcribed by RNA polymerase I as part of the 45S precursor that also contains 18S and 28S rRNA. Functionally, it is thought that 5.8S rRNA may be involved in ribosome translocation. Lineage: Eukaryota; Fungi; Ascomycota; Dothideomycetes; Pleosporales; Pleosporaceae. The record is from RNAcentral.